GCUCCACUUGCUCUUAUCAAGCCUCCCAAGGUCCUUGGCCCUGUUGCUGCCCACUGCAGUCUGCCAGUAGGCCCAGGUAUUCCAAGGGAGCGUGAUCGUCUGUGGCGGAGACGCAGUGGUGGUGCGUUCUGAUCAAGUUGAAAGGAAUCAAGAAACAAGCAUAACCCAGAAUUAAUUUAAGGGAACCAACUCCCUGCCUUCAGUCCAGUACAUCCCUCGCCUUCUGUCUGACACGAUACAAGUUUUACUUUGUCCUGGCUCCUGCUGCCUACGCCUUGCAAUGGAUGUGACAUUGGGAGGUGUGUUGUACGAAGGAAUUUUCUGCUCCCAUUCCGAAAUACAGGAAGCUACUGAGAUGCUGCUGCAAGAGUUAGAGCGCCUAUGUAGUUGUGGUUGGCUCAUGAGUUGCUGGCCGUUGGAAAUCUGAGCAAUAUAGUUAUCAGAAAGCUAAAAAAAUUGAAAAGAAAUUAAUGAGCAAGACUGAAAAACUGAGAGAAAGAAUUCAUUACUUUUCUAUAAUUUAACACAAAGAUAUUGUAAUUAUUUGUACUAAAUUACAUUUUUAUACUAAAUUUGUGUUUAUACUAGAUUAAAACAAUUAAAUUGAAGUCUGAGAAAUAUAAGUAAUAUAAAACAAAAAGUUGAUUCUCAUAAAAACAGUCACCUAAUCUAACCCUAAAUUACUACACAACUACAAAUAACGUACAGGUACUGGCGAUGGAGAAACAGAUCUUGGAGUAGCUUUUUCUCGAUCCCGCUCCCGAGAGGGUCUCUCUGGCUUUUCAGAUUUGGGUUCAGUAACAAUAGCCUUCAGUUGUUUCAGUUUUUCAUCUUUCACCCAGAGUUUAUUUUGCAUCUCCAAUUGUUUAGCUGCCACUCGCCGCUCCUAUGGAUUAUCAAUAGCAAUAGACGUUCUAAUUCAAUUACACUAUACAAGUACACCACAUUACUAAACACUGUCAUAAAAACUAUAGUUCUCCAAUUCUUCCUGAGUAACUAUACUCCAUAAUGUUAACGAAUUUCAAGGGCAGAGAAAGGAAUGAACUGAAUAGGCAACUAUUGCCGCCACCACCAAAACCCUAACCCAGGAAGUCAUUCAAAACACUACAAUUUGAAAUAAAUCACCCAUCUCUGCGAUAGGCAGAGGGAUGACACUCACGCAUUCUUUCUCCCACUUCAUUGUUGUUUCCGUCACCAUGCCUUGCAAUCUGGCUUCUAGUCUGCGUUUGUCAGAAAACUGUUGUUGAAGUUUUUGAUUCUGGGCUUCAAGUUCCUGUUGCAGAUUGCGCUUAUCUUCUUCAUAGAUAGUAGUUGUUUUCUCUAAAAUUUCAAUCUGGAAGGCAGACCAUUAUGUUCAAUAAUUAGCAUGUAAAUAUUUCAUGUAGCUUUAAAACAAUCUUUUAUAAUUAGUUUAUGGCAAGCAGAAUUGUGGAAAGAAAAAAUCAUAGAUAAAGCAUUUUCCUCUAAAAUUU
Molecule: long non-coding RNA, 1472 nt
Organism: Pipistrellus kuhlii (Kuhl's pipistrelle)
Lineage: Eukaryota; Metazoa; Chordata; Mammalia; Chiroptera; Vespertilionidae
Exons: 3
Source: RefSeq, a predicted model, not a curated record